Molecule: transfer RNA, 69 nt
Filed under: Conocara macropterum (longfin smooth-head)
Lineage: Eukaryota; Metazoa; Chordata; Actinopteri; Alepocephaliformes; Alepocephalidae
Description: tRNA-His
Rfam family: tRNA
About the family: Transfer RNA (tRNA) molecules are approximately 80 nucleotides in length.
Source: RNAcentral
GUAGACAUAGUUUAAUCAAAACACUAGAUUGUGAUUCUAAAAAUAGGGGUUAAAGCCCCUUUGUCCACC